This 255-nucleotide ribosomal RNA is filed under the name uncultured bacterium. RNAcentral's name for it is "partial 16S ribosomal RNA". It matches the Rfam family "Bacterial small subunit ribosomal RNA", at positions 526 to 779 of the family's 1533-position model. The record is from RNAcentral.
CGUAGGGUGCGAGCGUUGUCCGGAAUUAUUGGGCGUAAAGAGCUUGUAGGCGGUUUGUCGCGUCUGCUGUGAAAAUCCGGGGCUCAACCCCGGACUUGCAGUGGGUACGGGCAGACUGGAGUGUGGUAGGGGAGACUGGAAUUCCUGGUGUAGCGGUGGAAUGCGCAGAUAUCAGGAGGAACACCGAUGGCGAAGGCAGGUCCCUGGGCCACUACUGACGCUGAGAAGCGAAAGCAUGGGGGAGCGAACAGGAUU